AUUUGAAUAGCAUCUUAAUACAUUAAGCCAUAUUAAGUGUUUGUUUUUUCUACGGGAGGAAAACGCUUAAUGAGAGACUUUGCGCAUUGCAUUCAUAUUCUGCUGUUUUGUGGCCACGGAUUUGCGGGUCUUGUUUUUUUAUUCUUGCAGGACCUCUGUACGUGACGGUACUAAAUUAGUUUUAAUCACCACAGCGUCUUGUCUCCAUUGGCAACAUGCACGAUUUCUGUUGAUUGCAAAUGACGUCGCAGGUAGCUGAGAGUGCAAGUGGCGAUUGCAAGUGACUUCGUAAUUUAGUUUCUUUUUUCCUGUCUUCAACACCUGGCUGCUGUUGUAAAAUGUUGAGAGAUUCAAACAAAAAAUAAUAAAUAAAUAGAACACAAUAUAAAAUAAAGACUGCAAGUAAUGUCACUACCGGAAGUGCAAGUGUCUGAGAGUGCAAGUCUGAGAAUGCAAGUCUGAGAGUGCAAGUCUGAGAGUGCAAGUCUGAGAGUGCAAGUCUGAGAGUGCAAGUCUGAGAGUGCAAGUGCAAGUCUGCAGCCAGACCCUUUUGGGAUGAUGGCAUUAAUCCAGAGACGAUCAAACAGGAAACAGAGCAUGAAGCAGGACCGCUGAAUGACGACCAGACAAACACCACGCGGACCUCACACAACGAUCUGACAAACAAGAGACGAACGACCGGGCAUUAAAUAGGCUGCUGUAACGAGCUGCACCUGCCGCUGAUCAGCCGAUCAGCGGUAACACCCACAUGAAACAAUUAACAUGACGUCACAACAAACCAGCAGGAGACGGUGCAUUCAUGAACCGUGACAACAUUCUAAUAGAGAAUUUAUUAUUAUUAUUAUUAUUAUUAUUAUUAAUAAUAAAUAUCAUUUACAGGGAGGUCUGCAUCCAAGAUUUCUGACUGCAAUAGCAACAGUGUUCGCAUAUAAACUACGUCUUUAACCUUCAGUAUCCAGAGGAGGCAUGUGGCACAUUGGAAUUCAUUCAAAGACGAUUCGUUUGGAUAAACCCUGAAAAAGGCUCGAAGCCCGGCAGAGGCAAGGUUGAUUCAAAGAAUACUGGAAAGAUUGUGAAUAACAAGUCUGCUACUGUCAUCCCCAAAGUUGUCUCCCUCCUAAAGAACCUCAUCGAUUUCAAAGGGGAUUUUGUCUAGGUAACUAAACUUAAUUGCCCCCUACCACAUAUUCUAGCUUCCUGAGAGAUUUACCACCUCUAAUCUAC
Cyprinus carpio (common carp) is the source of this 1224-nucleotide long non-coding RNA. NCBI's taxonomy places the organism in Eukaryota, Metazoa, Chordata, Actinopteri, Cypriniformes, Cyprinidae. The record is from Ensembl.